RNAcentral lists this ribosomal RNA (119 nucleotides) under Pteropus alecto (black flying fox). The record is from RNAcentral. RNAcentral also lists the same sequence under 1 other name. Lineage: Eukaryota; Metazoa; Chordata; Mammalia; Chiroptera; Pteropodidae.
GUCUACAGCCAUGCUACCCUGAACAAGCCCGAUCCUGUCUGAUCUUGGAAGCUAAGCAGGGUUGGGCCUGAUUAGUACUUGGAUGGGAGACCACCUAGGAAGACCAGGUGCUGUAGGUG